This 392-nucleotide ribosomal RNA is filed under the name Dactylopius opuntiae. RNAcentral describes it as "partial small subunit ribosomal RNA". The record is from RNAcentral. Lineage: Eukaryota; Metazoa; Arthropoda; Insecta; Hemiptera; Dactylopiidae.
ACAAAAAAUUUUUCUAAUUCUUCUUAAUUAUCAUCUAUAUAUUGAUCUAUCAUUAAAUUUAAAUUAAAUAUGUUAAAUUACAUUCAAAUAAUUCAUUAACAACUAUAUAUAAAAAAUAAAUUAAAUGAAAUUCAAAGUGUAAUUUCCACUUAAAGAACAAGAUUCUUUAAUAAUUAAGUACCGCCAAAUAAACUAACUUUAACUAUUACAUUAAUUACUAUUUAAAUUUCAUUAAUUUUUCUAGGGUAUCUAAUCCUAUUAACUUAAAUUAAUUAAAAUUGAAAAUUCAUAAUCAAAUUAAAAUCUAAAAAUUUCACUUAAAUAUUUUAAUUAAAAUCAAACCUAAAUUUCAAGUACAAAGAAAUUUUAAUUUCACCAAUCAUGUAUAACCG